Molecule: ribosomal RNA, 424 nt
Filed under: uncultured bacterium
Lineage: Bacteria
Description: bacterial SSU rRNA
Rfam family: Bacterial small subunit ribosomal RNA
Source: RNAcentral
UGGGGAAUCUUGCACAAUGGGGGAAACCCUGAUGCAGCGACGCCGCGUGAGCGAUGAAGUCCUUCGGGAUGUAAAGCUCUUUCGACGGGAACGAUAAUGACGGUACCCGGAGAAGAAGCUGCGGCUAACUACGUGCCAGCAGCCGCGGUAAUACGUAGGCAGCGAGCGUUGUUCGGAAUUACUGGGCGUAAAGAGUGUGUAGGCGGUUUGGUAAGUUUGGUGUGAAAUCUCCCGGCUUAACUGGGAGGGUGCGCCGAAAACUGCCAGACUAGAGUGCCGGAGAGGAAAGCGGAAUUCCUGGUGUAGCGGUGAAAUGCGUAGAUAUCAGGAGGAACACCGGUGGUGUAGACGGCUUUCUGGACGGCCACUGACGCUGAGACACGAAAGCGUGGGGAGCAAACAGGAUUAGAUACCCGCGUAGUCC